RNAcentral lists this ribosomal RNA (440 nucleotides) under uncultured bacterium. RNAcentral describes it as "partial 16S ribosomal RNA". It matches the Rfam family "Bacterial small subunit ribosomal RNA", at positions 338 to 795 of the family's 1533-position model. The record is from RNAcentral.
CCUACGGGUGGCAGCAGUGGGGGAUAUUGCACAAUGGGGGAAACCCUGAUGCAGCGACGCCGCGUGAGUGAAGAAGUAUCUCGGUAUGUAAAGCCCUAUCUGCAGGGAAGAAAAUGACAGUACCUGACCAAGAAGCCCCGGCUACCUACGUGCCAGCAGCCGCGGUAAUACGUAGGGGGCAAGCGUUAUCCGGAUGUAAUGGGUGUAAAGGGAGCGUAGUCGGUUAUGUAAGUCUGGAGUGAAAGCCCGGGGCUCAACCCCGGGACUGCUGUGGAAACUGUGUAACUGGAGUACAGGAGGGGCAGGCGGAAUUCGUGGUGUAGCGGUGAAAUGCGUAGAUAUCAGGAGGAACACCGGCGGCGAAGGCGGCCUGCUGGACUGAAACUGACGUUGAGGCUCGAAGGCGUGGGGAGCGAACAGGAUUAGAUACCCGGGUAGUC